UACGUAGGGACCGAGCGUUGUCCGGAUUCAUUGGGCGUAAAGAGCUCGUAGGCGGCUGUUCAAGUCGAACGUGAAAACUCGGAACUCAACUCCGAGCCUGCGUUCGAUACUGGACGGCUAGAGUCUGGUAGGGGGAUCUGGAAUUCCUGGUGUAGCGGUGGAAUGCGCAGAUAUCAGGAGGAACACCGGUGGCGAAGGCGGGAUCCUGGGCCAGUACUGACGCUGAGGUGCGAAAGCGUGGGGAGCAAACAGG
RNAcentral lists this ribosomal RNA (253 nucleotides) under uncultured bacterium. RNAcentral's name for it is "partial 16S ribosomal RNA". It matches the Rfam family "Bacterial small subunit ribosomal RNA", at positions 524 to 776 of the family's 1533-position model. The record is from RNAcentral.